GAUGAACGCUAGCUACAGGCUUAACACAUGCAAGUCGAACGAAGGCUUCGGCCUUAGUGGCGCACGGGUGCGUAACGCGUGGGAAUCUGCCCUUAGGUUCGGAAUAACAGCUGGAAACGGCUGCUAAUACCGGAUGAUAUCGCGAGAUCAAAGAUUUAUCGCCUGAGGAUGAGCCCGCGUUGGAUUAGGUAGUUUGUGGGGUAGAGGCCUACCAAGCCGACGAUCCAUAGCUGGUCGGAGAGGAUGAUCAGCCACACUGGGACUGAGACACGGCCCAGACUCCUACGGGAGGCAGCAGUGGGGAAUAUUGGACAAUGGGCGAAAGCCUGAUCCAGCAAUGCCGCGUGAGUGAUGAAGGCCCUAGGGUUGUAAAGCUCUUUUACCCGGGAAGAUAAUGACUGUACCGGGAGAAUAAGCCCCGGUUAACUCCGUGCCAGCCGCCGCGGUAA
Molecule: ribosomal RNA, 449 nt
Filed under: uncultured bacterium
Lineage: Bacteria
Description: partial 16S ribosomal RNA
Rfam family: Bacterial small subunit ribosomal RNA
Source: RNAcentral